UAAUACAGAGGUGGCAAGCGUUGUUCGGAAUUACUGGGCGUAAAGGGCGCGUAGGCGGCCUUGUCAGUCAGACGUGAAAUCCCCAGGCUUAACCUGGGAACUGCGUCUGAUACUACAAGGCUUGAGUUCGGGAGAGGAAUGUGGAAUUCCAGGUGUAGCGGUGAAAUGCGUAGAUAUCUGGAGGAACACCGGUGGCGAAGGCGGCAUUCUGGACCGAAACUGACGCUGAGGCGCGAAAGCCAGGGGAGCAAACGGGAUUAGAUACCCCGGUAGUCCUAGCCUUAAACGAUGAAUGCUUGGUGUCUGGGGUUAUAUAGUCCCCGGGUGCCGUCGCUAACGCUUUAAGCAUUCCGCCUGGGGAGUACGGUCGCAAGACUG
This 378-nucleotide ribosomal RNA is filed under the name uncultured bacterium. Its description in RNAcentral is "bacterial SSU rRNA". It matches the Rfam family "Bacterial small subunit ribosomal RNA", at positions 521 to 896 of the family's 1533-position model. The record is from RNAcentral.